Zeugodacus cucurbitae (melon fly) is the source of this 10414-nucleotide long non-coding RNA. RefSeq lists it as uncharacterized. The record is from RefSeq and is a predicted model, not a curated record. NCBI's taxonomy places the organism in Eukaryota, Metazoa, Arthropoda, Insecta, Diptera, Tephritidae. The transcript is spliced from 2 exons.
UAUAUAAUACACAAUUUGACCCACAUAUUCGUCAUAUAUAUUGUAUAAAGUCCAUUGAAAGUUGGAAACCCUAAUAUUAGGUUAGAAGCACCGAGGUCCUCUUGUUCGAUAUAUGGGGCCUUGACAACCUAUGGUCCGAUUUCGGCGAUUUUUAGAAUGGGGCUGCCACACUAUAAACGUAGUAUUUGUGCAAAGUUCUGCAUCGAUAUCUUCACUAGUGCUUACUUUAUAUGUAUAUUGUAAAGUAAACAAUUCAGAUCGUCUUCAAAGUUUUGGUAUAUAGGAAGUAGGCGUGGUUGUGAAGCGAUUUGGCCUAUUUUCACAACAUAUCAUUGGGAUGUAAGGAAACUAUUACAAACCAAGUUUCAUUAAAAUCGAUCGAGUAGUUCCUGAGGGUGGGCGACGCCACGCCCAUUUUCCAUUUUGUAAAAAAAUCUGAGUCCAACUUCCUUCUGCCAUUUCUUAAGUAAAAUGUUGGUGUUUCUGACGUUUCUCGUUAGUGAGUUAACGCACUUUUAGUAAUUUUCAACCUAACCUUUGUAUGAGAGGUGGGCGUGGUUAUUAUCCGAUUUCUUUAGAUUUUGUACUGUAUAAGGAAACGGCUAAAAGACACGACUGCAGAAAGUUUUGUUUAUAUAGCUUUAUUGGUUUGCAAGAUAUAUACAAAAAAACCUAUUUGGGGGCGGGGUCACGCCCAUUUUUCUAAAAAAAAUUGCAUUAAAAUGUGCCCCUCCCUAAUGCGAUCCUAUGUUCCAAAUUUUAUUUUCAUAACUAUAUUUAUGGCUUAGUUAUAGCUCUUUAUGUGUUUUUGGUUAUCGCCAUUUUGUGGGCGUGGCAGUGGUCCGAUUCCGCCCAUCUUCGAACUUAACCUUCUUAUGGUGCCAAGGAACACAUGUUCCAAGUUUCAUUAAGAUAUCUCAAUUUUAACUCAAGUUACGCCUUGCACGGACGGACAGACAGACAUCCGGAUUUGAACUUUACUCUUCACCCUGAUCACUUUGGUAUAUAUAACCCUAUAUCUAACUCGUUUAGUUUUAGGACUUACAACCAACCGUUAUGUGGACAAAACUAUAAUACUCUCGUAGCAACUUUUGUUGCGAGAGUAUAAAAAGAAAAGAAACAGCGAAAUUUGCAUUAUAUAAGACGAGAAUUAGAUUAUACAGCUAUAUAUGUACAUAUAUAUAUACAUAUGUAUGUCAGUUAUUGGGUUGAUAUAUGUAUAGACUAAUCUAUAAUAAUAGAGAUUUGUUUUAUGAAUCGAGCUUUGACAUUUAGUUAUUAAAUACAGUGGAAAUUCUCUAACCCGAAUCACCAUAAUCCACAAUAAAACUUCGAGUUAGAUAGACUUCUAGUUAGAGAAUUUUCAUUAAAAUAUAAAAUUUUUCAAAAAGCUGUAAAAUUUAGAUUUAUACCCAAUUUUAUUUAUUUACUUCACAUAAAGUUUUAUGUACAUAUAUCGUUAAAAUAUGUAUUCUGUAAUUUUGUUUGAUGCAGCGCGCUAAUGUUUGGCUCUUGACGUCUGUAUCACAUGCCCUUGUUACAGGAUUUAUAAUUCAUAUAUAGAAGGACUCUUUUAAAAUUCGGCCUCGAUAGUAAAAUUUUAAAUUUUGUAUUAUGUCACCGUCAAAAAGUUCGAUUUAUGGAACGAAAUUUGUAUGAAAUUUAACUUCUAUUGCCAAUUCAAGAGUUCGAGUUAUGGAGAACUUCGAUUUAUAGAAAUUCGAGUUAGGGAAGGAAAUUGGUAUGAAAUUCAGCUUCUAAACGCUAUUGCCAAUUCAAAAGUUCGAGUUAUGGAAUGAAACAACAGUUUUGAAACAUGAUUCUGUUCUUUAUUUCAUUAACAAACCACUUUUAGUUUAUGGUCAAGAGAACAACCACAUGUCGGGUUUAAUAAUAUAAAAAAUAUACAAAUCUUAAGUCAUAGAAGUACUUUAAGUUGUUUGAAAACAUAGUUUAAGAUUUUUUGAACUAGAAAAAUGUAUAACAAAGAUCUAAAAAAUAACCUCAUCGAUUCAAAAAGAAGGAUACCCCUGACAAUGUUCUGUGAGUGCGCAGAAAACCCCAUUCUAGGAUUUUGUUACGAUUUUCCAGAAAUAAGGCGAAUUGAUAGAAACAUUUUCUAGGUCUAUGGCUGGUCAAUUAUAAUUGUCCUAAAGAAGAUCAUUAUUAUUAGCGGUGAUAAUAGAACUAUUCUUCUCCCUAUACCCAAUUGAUAAAUAAUAGAUCCCAGGUCGUUGUCAUGUCAGUCAAAUAUACAGAACGGUAAUGGAUUUGGAUUUAUGUACAUAUCCAUACACACUAUCUUUGUAUAUCCGGCUAUGAACUGUCAACUCGGCAGUUUUCCGAAGUCUAUCUAUGGAAUAGUUUACAUUGCUACAACAACAAUAAUAGAUACGGGAUUUCUUGGUCUGCUUGAUUUUUAUACGUACUUACAUACAUACAUACGUUAAAAACAACUUAGAAGGACCUUAACUUGUUUCAUUGUUAAUAUAUAAGAAUAAGCCUACAUUAAGGCGUUGCGUACGUACUUUUAUGCAUUAAAAUAGUUUUGGCGAUAACUUUAUAUCAUUUAUAAUCAACUUAUGCUAUGCAUAAUAUACAUAUACUCCCAUACAUGCAUAUAAAUUUUUAUAUGUUAGAUGUUUGAAGCAACAAACUCAGUGAAGAUGCCAAAAGAGCAUAAUUGUAUCCAGAUAUUAAGUAAACAUACAUACUUAUAUGUACAUUUGUAUGUGGCCAUAUGCAUAAAUAAGUUUUGCAAUAAAUCUACAACGAGCAAGUUCCACCGGCAACGCAGCACAGUGCAGUUCAAUUCCUAAACAAACCCCAACAACAACAACACUCAACACCACAGCUGGCUGAAAAGUCAGUGAGCUAGCGAAACAAGUAGGCAGACAAAAACUACAGCAACACAUACACAGGCAUGCAUAAUCGUAAAUGCUGCUGGUGCAAGUACUCGCUUACCAACAAUAACAAUUUUACAUAUUCAUCUAGAUACAUGUAAAUACAUAUGCAUAUAUGUAUCUGUAUCGAUGUAAAAAUGUUUGCAUGUCAGCAUGCACGGUGGAAUACAUAUUUGCUCUCUUUGGGUAGGAAAUUGUUUACAGUAACUGCGCAUCGCACUCGCUGCCAGCUAACUGUGACAUAUGCACACAUUUAAAUAAAUCGAGGUAAAGAACGAACAGAGCGAACAGCAAAAAUGUAUGGAAAAUCUACUAAAACUGAGCAACUGGCGUUCGGUCGCACUGUCUCUACACCGGUCGACGGUCUGGCUCGGCUAUGCCUGUCGGUCGCCCUCGCCACACAUUUGGCGCGCCGCCGGCUACGCUAUCGUCGUUUUCGCCUCACACUUUUGGAUUAGGCUGCACAUGUACGUGGAUGCGAGUGUUUAGUGUGUGUGUGUAGAGUUUUGCAAGCGUGCUGAUAUUCCGUACAACAAAUAAAUGUGUAAUAACAACACAUAUGUAACUACAGAAGCACUACCUCUAUGAACCAUAUAUGAUACAAGUAUAUACUUAUGUAUUUACAUACAUAAAUACAAACAAGUGAAUAAAUGUAGCUUUUUCUUCUUUGACUCUUUGGCGUUCUCCAAAAUUGCAUUUGAGAUGCUAGUUGUUGUCGUUGCUGUUGUUGCUUUUGUUGCUAUUUUGUUGAUGAAGAUAAUGAUUAUGCUAACACAAUCGGGAAAAUGCGACUUAACACAAUGAUAACAACUACAACAAUCAAUGGAAGUGCAAAAUAAACCCAAAAAUUUAUUUAAUUCUUUUACGAUUUUUGCUGUUGACAAUGAGCUUUUUAUGAUUCAAGCUCUAACUAGUACCUAGUCGAACGCACAGAAUACUUCGUAGUAGAUACACACACUGAAGCACUUACAAUGUAUAAAUGUAUAUGUAUGUAAGUGUGUAAGUAUAUGGUAGAUAAAUAUUUUUGUAUAAAUUAUAACUUUUCGUCGGAAAUAAUUGUUAUUCUUCGGUGUUCUAGGUAAACAGUAUUUAUAAUUCAUAACAAGUAAGGAUGGGCUAAAUAUAGUCGCAAUGUGUAAUAAUUGCUGGAAUUAUGAAACUAUUGUCCACAGCUUGGCGUCAAAUUAACUUUUUUUAUCAAAUAAUCACUCAAGAAGAGAAAUUAAUAUAUUCGGGUGAGAUAUAAACCUAUAAAUAAUAUUUGACACAAAAUAACAUUUUCUUUUAGAAAAUGCGCCCAAUCAAUUUCAUUAAUAACUAGCAGACCCGGAAACACGUUUUGUGGCUAAGAUAUACAAUCAAUCUUGGCUUCGAAGACGAUACAAAGUUCAUUACAAAGUCGAGGUUGAUUCGACGACAUCUUUAUUUUUUGCGUUUGUUGAUUUCAAUAUUGGUCGUUUACUCAGCCAAUUAUGGGUAUUAUAUUGUUAUUUUAUGUCCGGAAAGAGACAGAAAUGUUAUUAAUCCAUCGAGGUGUCAACUGUGACCUUACCAGUUCCAAUAUCUAGCGACUGCUUCUACAAUCACAGUUUGAUCUUGUUGCAAAAACACUUGGAUGUAUAAAUAAACGAUUUUUGUGCGCCGUACUUCCCAAAUUAUCAACUUGCAUAUCUGGAGAAUCUUCGCUAUAGCUCUAUUUUUGGCGAUCUUGCAAACUGGUGUUUCGUUGAUUUGCAAUUUAGGAGUAAUUUCAAUGCCGAAUGUACAGUUUGUGUGCCUACUAACAGGUAGCCAAGUUGCCUCUAUUCCCGUUAUGCUUUGAUGGUUAAAAUGAGUGAAAUCGGUUCAGGAAUUACCACGGAAUUACAAUAAAUGAUGAUUUUCGUUAUUAUAUUCUUCUUUAUGAAUAUAUGGGUCAGUAUUGUGUGUUAUCUUAAUAAAAUUACAUCACUAAAUUACGAGGGUAUAAAAUGUUCGGUUGCACCCAAACUUAGCCUUUCCUUACUUGUUACAAAUUGUUUUGGGCUAUCCAACCUUAUACAAUUGAACAAUGCCAAAAAUAUUUUAACAAAGCAACAAUGACUACCUUCAAAAUAUUAUUAUUUUUUGUUUUCUAUUUUUUUUUUAAUUUUGUUGUCAACUCAUAUAAAGUUCUGUUAUUGCAAUCUUCCGCGCAAUUUUUCUAUAUUUACUUUCUUUCUAAACCUUUUUUGGCCAUGCUCGAAUAUUUUAAGACUAAAAUUAGCCAGAUCGGUAUGGCAGUUCUUGACUUUUUGCGAGACUAACGAACAGCAAUUCGUUUUUAUACAUACAUACAUAUCUAUAAAAUACAAAUUGUUUGUAUGGUAGAUUAGAAAAAUGUGAAUUUUAGGCUUUUUCAGGCAAUUUUUUUUUUAAUUUUUCUCUCCGUAAGAACCAUCCUCAAACACCCUGGAAUACACACAAAAAUAAUGAGUGAAAUCGGUCUAGUCGUUUUCAUGCUAUGUCGUGACAACGGAAAACGGGUUUCAUUUUUAUAUAUAUAGAUAAGACAUUCUACGUUACCAGAUUAAUUGUGGAACGAAAAGCAAUAAGAGCGCGCCGUUCCUCUCUUUCCUUCGCUGUUCGGCGCCAGUUGGAGAUUCCAAGUGUAACCAGGUCGCUCUCCAUCUGGUCCCUCCAACGGAGUGGAGGCCUUCCCCUUCCUCGGCUUCCUUCGGCGGGUACUGCAUCGAACACUUUCAGAGCUGGAGUGUUUUCGUCCAUUCGGACAACAUGACCUAGCCAGCGCAGCCGCUGUCUUUUUAUUUGCUGAACUAUGUCAAUGUCGUCGUAUAACUCGUACAGCUCAUCGUUCCAUCGUCUGCGGUAUUCGCCGUUGCCAAUGUUAUGAGGACCAUAAAUCUUGCGCAAAAUUUUCCUCUCGAAAACUCCUAGUGUCGUCUCAUCUGAUGUUUUCAUCGUCCAAGCUUCUGCACCAUAAAGCAGGACGGGAAUUAUAAGCGACUUGUAGUGUUUGACUUUGGUUCGUCGAGAGAGGACUUUACUUUUCAAUUGCCUACUCAGUCCAAAGUUCCCAGGUAUACGAAAUUAUCUACGAAUUCGAAGUUAUGACUGUCAACAGUGACGUAGGAGCCAAGACGCGAAUGCGCCGAAUGUUUGCUUGAUGACAGGAGCUAUUUCGUCUUGUCCUCAUUCACCUCCAGACCCAUUCGCUUCGCCUCCUUAUCCAUGCGGGAAAAAGCAGAACAAACGGUGCGGUUGUUGCUUCCGAUGAUAUCAAUAUCAUCGGCGUACGCCAGGUGCUGUACUUUCUUAUAGAAGAUUGUACCUUCUCUAUUUAGCUCUGCAGCUCGUAUAAUUUUUUCCAGCAUCAAGUUAAAGACGUCACACGAUAGUGAGUCACUUGUCUGAAACCUCGUUUGGUAUCGAACGGCUCGGAGAGGUCCUUCCCAAUCAUGACGGAGCUUUUGGUGUUGCUCAACGCCAACUUACACAGCCGUAUUAGUUUUAUAAAAGUGGGGAUAUUUAUAAAAGUGAAAUUUCGUUAUUUAAAAUUAAAUUUAUUUUGCUGUGCAAAGGACAGCACUAGGAAGGGGGCGGGGCCACGCCCACAAAUAGGAUUUUUGUAUAUAUCUCGCAAACCAAUAAAGCUAUAUAAACCAAACUUUCUGCAGUCGUUUUCCUUACGUACCCCAUCAUACACCACGAAAAUAGUGUAAAUACAAAGGUUAUAUUGAAAAUUACUAAAAGUGCAUUAACUCACUAACGAAUAACAUCAGAAACCCUAAAUUUUGCAGAAGAAAUGGCAGAAAGAAGUUGCACUCAGACUUUUGUACAAAGUGGAAAAUGGGCGUGGCGACCCCCACUUAUGGGUCAAAAACCAUAUCACAGGAACUAUUUGACCGAUUUCAAUGAAAUUCGGUAUAUAUCAUUUUCUUGACACCCCGAUGACACGUGUGGUGAAAUCGGUUCACAGCCACGACUACUUUCCAUAUAACUCACUUUUGAAUUCCAUCUCAUUUAUUCACUUUAUAAUAUAUACAUAACGAACCAAGAAGAUAAUGUAGUAAAACUUUACACAAAUACUGUAUAUGAUAAGUACUUGUGAAACAAAUUUUGAAUUCGGACUAUAACUUUUCGAUGUCCGGAUAUCGAAUAUUAAGAAUUCAGUGCCUUAUGGUAAUUUUUCACCGAAAAUAUCGCUAAAUCUCUCAGAUAUAUUAAUGUAAUUCAGAAGAAAUCAUUUUCUUCCUAUAGCGUGUCUCUGUCGGUUCAUAACUUCCCCUAGCUCUCAUAUACCUAAUUAUAGGGUUUUCAAAACUACGAUGGCCUUAAUACUGUAUAAAUCGGUUAAUAUGUGAAAUAUCUUAGCCAAAUUAAGUGAGCCCAUACAUGAUCUUAGAUAUAAUGUGGUGAGUGAAAAUGAGUGAAAUCGGUUCAGGAAUUACCUUAGCCUAUAUACUAUAUAUGAGGAUUUUCGUUAUUCUAUUGGACUUUAUGCAGAAUAUAUGGGUCAAAUUGUGUGUUUCCUUAAAAAAACUAUAUCAAUAAAUUGAGUAUAAAAUGUUCGGUUGCACCCGAACUUAGCCUUUCCUUACUUGUUGCACUUUACUAUUGUCUAAAUCCCAUGCUUUUGUUACUUUUGAAAUAAAUUAGAGAUUUACAAAUUUUUAUUAUCCUCCUUACGAUAUAAAGGGACUCUUUUCAAAUUGUGCCUCGAUAGUAAAAUUUUAAAUUUAUUAUUCCUAGUCGAAAAGUUCGAUUUAUAGAAGGAAAUUUGUAUGAUAUUUGACUUCUAAAGCCAAUUCAAGACUUGGCGUUGUGGAGGUCUUCGAGUUAUGUAAAAGCCACGUUGUGCUAAGUAUUCUCGUUCAAUCUUCCUCUGGAGUGGUGGAAUGUCUAAUAGUCUAAGUCUGGAGUGAUUCUAAAAAUAUUGUUUUGCAAAAACCACAUUGUUAUCAAGAAGACAUGUCCGGUAUUAAGGUAAUAAUACCCCUGGCAGACGGCAGGCGGCGUUAUUUCGGAAUAACUGCUUUAAUCGGGGUUAAUUCGAGAGUUAUCUCAGUUAACUCCGUUUGCUAACUCCCAUUUAAUCCCCAAAAUUUUAUAGAGUUAGUGGGAGUGAAUGAAAAUAUGCAAUACUGACAGCUGCUUUUCAACUAAAUGUAAACAAAAACAUACGCAUGCUAAUUUUUUCUAAAACGGAAGUUCUAAUAAUAACGUAUUUAUGUUUAUUUUUUUAGUAAUUAGUGAUUUUGUGCUAAUUGUGCGGCUAACAACCGCAAUAUUUGCUUUCUAUACAAUUUUAUUUUACCAAAAUGGAAAUAUUAUUGCCAAUCAGCUGUUUGGGAGUUUAUAACUCGCUUUGCUGCCGUCUGUCACCUACAUAUUUAAAACUGAUUAAAAGCACAGAUAAUCCGAAUUAACUUUGCCGUCUGUCUAGGCUAUAACACAUUCACCUACAUACAUACAUACAUACAUACAUAUUCGGUAUACAAUCAACCGAAGCCAUAGAAAUUCUUGGAUUUGACAUAUGGGAGCCACAAAUGGCUUGGACCCAUUUCGAUGAAAUUUAAAUGAAAGCAGUCGUCACAUAUCUUAAUCACUACUUGUGCUAUGUAUUUUUUAAUAACUUUAUUGAUAAUCUAGUUAUUCAUUUCAAAUUAAUGCAUCUCAUAGGAAGAAGGAAUUUAAACUUUCCUUGAGCGAACUUUAGCUUUAAGUUUCGCUGUUUUUGUAGACUAAAUCAUUAAUAAAAUAAACGAAACUAUUUGGAUUACUUUUGUAAGAAAUUAAUAAAAUUAAACACUGGUUCUUCAUAUGACGCAUCAAAACCACAGUUUUCAAUGACACAUUAUACAUUUCUACUGAAGAUAAGCCUGUUAUACUAUGUAUACAUCACACCAUUUUGCGUGAUUAUAUUAUUAUUGUUACAGAAUGUGUAGCUGUAAAAUAUUAAGCUAGAAAUUUAGAAUAAGCAUGAAACUUUACGUCUCGGUCAUAAUAAAGCCGUUCUUCGGGUCCUUUGCUACUAAUGUAUUUUUAAAAGAUCUCCAACAUAUUGCUAUGACCAAGUAAAAGAGUUGUGAAGUGGGUUAAAAUACACGCGACUUUUAAAAAAAAGGCCACACCAGAAUCUCUCGAAAAACCAACAACAAUAAACAGAUUGGAAACAUUUUCUGUGACCUGAGCUGUUAACUUUGUUGUUAUAUAUGUACAUACUAUGUACCUUCAGUGAAAUUGUCUCUGAGCUGAGCAUUCGAUUGACACUAGCUUACAAAAAUCAAGUCUCUCCUCAGUAUUAACAUUACAAUGCGACGCGAACGUUUGCUCGACAACGACAUCUCUUCAAAUUUUAAUACAUACACACAAGAUAUUAAAACGCUAAAAAGUCUAGACCUCCACAUUAGCUAACCAUAUUUCACUAUAUUUACAAUAAAAUUGUUUACACAAAUUUCAACAGCAAAUAUAUUUAAAACUUAAUAAGCGACUUUCGUAUUUGUAACAACUCAUAAGCGGAACAAUAAAAAAUUAUUUAAUUAUGUAUGAGUAUGAGUAUGUUUUAUCAUUCAUUCAUAUGCAUGCUUAUGAAUACACAUGUUUGUAUAUAUGUCUGUCUGCGCGCCAGCAGUAAUGAAAAUGAAGGUGAACUCUAUUGCAUGGCGUACGGUUAGAAGAGUUCAUCGCCGCCGCCUCCGCUGAGUGGAGAGCCACACCACCGCAAAUAGAAAUAAAGCAAAAAACAAAGGAAAUCACAGCGUAGCCGAAUGUGAGGGCAAAGCAGAAGCGGCAGCGACGGCGGAAGAAGCAGAGAGCAGAAUUGGGUUGAAUGCAGUGCGAUGGCGAGCAGGAUGGCGAUGUGAAGUGGGGUGUAGAGAUGUUCAGCGAGCCGCACAGCUGGCCGAUUAGCGUCACUAUGCGGCAUUGAGCCGCCGUUUGGGUUGCUUAAGAAAUUUUAACAGUCAAUUGACAGAGCCAGACAACUGCGACGAAUGAGAGCCACAGCAAGUCGGAGCGUCAGUGAAGAGUAAUAAAGAAUAUAAUGGUGGAGCGACCUGAAUUUGAACACUGUGUUUUUUAACACUUUAUACGUAUGAGUGUAUAUUUAUACAUAUUUCCAUUUGUUUUCCGUUUUUGGUAUGUGACAAAGCGACUGGCGUUGCUGGACGCAAAAUAUUUAGUGUCUGGUGUCAACACUUGUCAAACUCGGUGGAAGGCAGCGAGCGCGACCGCAGCACAAAUCACUAGGAACACAUUGUUUUCAUACAAACAGCGCUGAUUGCUGGCGGCGCGCGCGUUAUAAAUCGAAAUUUCCAAAUCGGAUUACUAUUUCAAUAUACGAGUGUGCACUUAUGCUAAGAAAUUCCACAAUUCCCCACACUUCAACCUAUCUACAUACAUGUAAAUGCCUUGUAAAUAUGUAUGCAUGCAUUACUUCAACUCAAAACGAGGAAAACCCCAGCAACGGAAAUUUUAUCAACAAUUCGGAUAGAAGCGGAACAAAAUGAGAAUAUUCGUAUGUAUGCACG